GAUGAACGCUGGCGGCGUGCCUAAUACAUGUAAGUCGAGCGAACGGACGAGAAGCUUGCUUUUCUGAUGUUAGCGGCGGACGGGUGAGUAACACGUGGAUAACCUACCUAUAAGACUGGGAUAACUUCGGGAAACCGGAGCUAAUACCGGAUAAUAUUUUGAACCGCAUGGUUCAAAAGUGAAAGACGGUCUUGCUGUCACUUAUAGAUGGAUCCGCGCUGCAUUAGCUAGUUGGUAAGGUAACGGCUUACCAAGGCAACGAUGCAUAGCCGACCUGAGAGGGUGAUCGGCCACACUGGGACUGAGACACGGUCCAGACUCCUACGGGAGGCAGCAGUAGGGAAUCUUCCGCAAUGGGCGAAAGCCUGACGGAGCAACGCCGCGUGAGUGAUGAAGGUCUUCGGAUCGUAAAACUCUGUUAUUAGGGAAGAACAUAUGUGUAAGUAACUGUGCACAUCUUGACGGUACCUAAUCAGAAAGCCACGGCUAACUACGUG
Molecule: ribosomal RNA, 497 nt
Filed under: uncultured bacterium
Lineage: Bacteria
Description: partial 16S ribosomal RNA
Rfam family: Bacterial small subunit ribosomal RNA
Source: RNAcentral